CUUGGCAUCCUGCUUGCGGUCUUUGAUGGCAUUACCCACCGCAUGGAGCAGGUGAGUCUUACCGAGACCGGUACCGCCGUA
Molecule: non-coding RNA, 81 nt
Organism: Aeromonas schubertii
Lineage: Bacteria; Pseudomonadati; Pseudomonadota; Gammaproteobacteria; Aeromonadales; Aeromonadaceae
Source: Rfam